GAUGAACGCUGGCGGCGUGCCUAACACAUGCAAGUCGAACGAAGCGCCUUACCGGAUUCUUCGGAUGAAGGUCUGGUGACUGAGUGGCGGACGGGUGAGUAACGCGUGGGUAACCUGCCCUGUACAGGGGGAUAACAGCUGGAAACGGCUGCUAAUACCGCAUAAGCGCACGAGGAGACAUCUCCUUGUGUGAAAAACUCCGGUGGUACAGGAUGGGCCCGCGUCUGAUUAGCUGGUUGGCAGGGUAACGGCCUACCAAGGCAACGAUCAGUAGCCGGUCUGAGAGGAUGAACGGCCACAUUGGAACUGAGACACGGUCCAAACUCCUACGGGUGGCAGCAGUGGGGAAUAUUGCACAAUGGGGGAAACCCUGAUGCAGCAACGCCGCGUGAGUGAAGAAGUAUUUCGGUAUGUAAAGCUCUAUCAGCAGGGAAGAUAAUGACGGUACCUGUCUAAGAAGCUCCGGCUAAAUACGUG
Molecule: ribosomal RNA, 477 nt
Filed under: uncultured bacterium
Lineage: Bacteria
Description: partial 16S ribosomal RNA
Rfam family: Bacterial small subunit ribosomal RNA
Source: RNAcentral